This 481-nucleotide ribosomal RNA is filed under the name uncultured bacterium. RNAcentral describes it as "partial 16S ribosomal RNA". It matches the Rfam family "Bacterial small subunit ribosomal RNA", at positions 28 to 523 of the family's 1533-position model. The record is from RNAcentral.
GACGAACGCUGGCGGCGUGCUUAACACAUGCAAGUCGAACGGUGACGGAGAGCUUGCUCUCCUGAUCAGUGGCGAACGGGUGAGUAACACGUGGGCAAUCUGCCCCUGACUUCGGGAUAACGCUUCGAAAGAGGUGCUAAUACCGGGUACGAACUCGGCAGGCAUCUGCUGGGUUGGAAAGUUUUUCGGUCAGGGAUGAGCCCGCGGCCUAUCAGCUUGUUGGUGAGGUAACGGCUCACCAAGGCGACGACGGGUAGCCGGCCUGAGAGGGCGACCGGCCACACUGGGACGGAGACACGGCCCAGACUCCUACGGGAGGCAGCAGUGGGGAAUAUUGCGCAAUGGGCGAAAGCCUGACGCAGCAACGCCGCGUGAGGGAUGACGGCCUUCGGGUUGUAAACCUCUGUCAGCAGGGAAGAAGCGAAAGUGACGGUACCUGCAGAAGAAGCACCGGCUAACUACGUGCCAGCCGCCGCAGUAA